UACCGAGUUUACAACUCCCAAACCCAAUGUGAACGUUACCAAACUGUUGCCUCGGCGGGAUCUCUGCCCCGGGUGCGUCGCAGCCCCGGACCAAGGCGCCCGCCGGAGGACCAACCAAAACUCUUAUUGUAUACCCCCUCGCGGGUUUUUUUUUAUAAUCUGAGCCUUCUCGGCGCCUCUCGUAGGCGUUUCGAAAAUGAAUCAAAACUUUCAACAACGGAUCUCUUGGUUCUGGCAUCGAUGAAGAACGCAGCGAAAUGCGAUAAGUAAUGGGAAUUGCAGAAUUCAGUGAAUCAUCGAAUCUUUGAACGCACAUUGCGCCCGCCAGUAUUCUGGGGGGCAUGCCUGUCCGAGCGUCAUUUCAACCCUCGAACCCCUCCGGGGGGUCGGGGUUGGGGAUCGGCCCUCCCUUAGCGGGGGGCCGUCUCCGAAAUACAGGGGCGGUCUCGCCGCAGCCUCUCCUGCGCAGUAGUUUGCACACUCGCAUCGGGAGGGCGGCGCGUCCACAGCCGUUAAACACCCAACUUCUGAAAUGUUGACCUCGGAUCAGGUAGGAAUACCCGC
RNAcentral lists this ribosomal RNA (564 nucleotides) under Trichoderma sp. MS126. RNAcentral describes it as "eukaryotic LSU rRNA". The stretch from base 206 to 359 matches the Rfam family "5.8S ribosomal RNA". The record is from RNAcentral. Lineage: Eukaryota; Fungi; Ascomycota; Sordariomycetes; Hypocreales; Hypocreaceae.